UACAGAGGGUGCGAGCGUUGUCCGGAAUUACUGGGCGUAAAGCGUGCGCAGGCGGUUGUGCAAGACAGAUGUGAAAGCCCCGGGCUCAACCUGGGAAUGGCAUUUGUGACUGCACGGCUAGAGUGUGUCAGAGGGGGGUAGAAUUCCACGUGUAGCAGUGAAAUGCGUAGAGAUGUGGAGGAAUACCGAUGGCGAAGGCAGCCCCCUGGGAUGACACUGACGCUCAUGCACGAAAGCGUGGGGAGCAAACAGG
This 253-nucleotide ribosomal RNA is filed under the name uncultured bacterium. RNAcentral describes it as "partial 16S ribosomal RNA". It matches the Rfam family "Bacterial small subunit ribosomal RNA", at positions 524 to 776 of the family's 1533-position model. The record is from RNAcentral.